This 67-nucleotide transfer RNA is filed under the name Cerceris bucculata. Its description in RNAcentral is "tRNA-Pro". Lineage: Eukaryota; Metazoa; Arthropoda; Insecta; Hymenoptera; Crabronidae. The record is from RNAcentral.
CAAAAUAUAAUUUAUAUAAAAUAUUAAUUUUGGAGAUUAAAAAAAUUUAUUUAUUAAAUUAUUUUGA